CAGCCGUAAACUAUGCGCGUUAGGUGUAUCGGUGACCACGAGUCACCGAGGUGCCGAAGGGAAACCGUGAAACGUGCCGCCUGGGAAGUACGGUCGCAAGGCUGAAACUUAAAGGAAUUGGCGGGGGGAGCACCACAACAGGUGGAGCCUGCGGUUUAAUUGGACUCAACGCCGGGAAGCUCACCGGAUAGGACAGCAGAAUGAUUGCCGGGCUGAAGACCCUGCAUGACUAGCUGAGAGGAGGUGCAUGGCGUAGACGUCU
This 262-nucleotide ribosomal RNA is filed under the name uncultured archaeon. RNAcentral's name for it is "partial 16S ribosomal RNA". It matches the Rfam family "Archaeal small subunit ribosomal RNA", at positions 748 to 1009 of the family's 1478-position model. The record is from RNAcentral.